CGGUGGGGAUGGGGCUACGUGCUAGUCUUUAAUACAGCAAUUCUCCUAGAACAAAGUGCACUUUCAAUGACAGCAAACAGCCCCGGGGCUGGGGAAAGGAAGCCCUCGGCCCGGACAAAGAAAAGACGACAAAAUCCCCUUUGAACCAUAGAAUCUUUAGAAGACGAUCAUCCGCUCAAGCUGCUGCCUGUUCCUUCUUUCCCAUUUCUCUGGAUUCCUGUAGAAGUAAAGAUCAUGUGUGCUUAUGGGAGAUGGCACCAUGCAUAUGCAAGACUUCUUGGGCUAGCUUUCACAUCAGACCAAUGGAGGAAUAAGCCCAUGUCCUUGUACACUCCAUUGGAAUUUAUGGUGACCCAGUUUAUGAAAGAGAAAACCAACCAGAGUGGUCUGGGUGGAGAUGGAUUCUUCUCUCCAGAUUGUGGGAGGCUGCUGAGACUCAAGAUCAAGUCAUGCUGUCUGUCAGCAGGAUGGGCUGAAGACAUCAAGACCAGCUUUUCAUUAAAAUGCCCACCAAUCAGGGUUGAUUUUUACUUGUCAGGGGCUCCUCCUUUUCUAAAAGUAUUUUAAAACUUUUAGUCUCUGCAUGGUUUUGUCUUUGGUCACCAUGAGAAACUACUGACCAUCAAUUUAUUGAUUAUUAA
Molecule: long non-coding RNA, 641 nt
Organism: Dromiciops gliroides (monito del monte)
Lineage: Eukaryota; Metazoa; Chordata; Mammalia; Microbiotheria; Microbiotheriidae
Exons: 3
Source: RefSeq, a predicted model, not a curated record